CAAGUCAUCAUCGGCCCUUUAUCGUCCGAGGGCGACGCACGUGCUACAAUGGCCGGCACAGGCGGGAAGCGAGGGGCGACCUUGAGCGGAUCCCUCAAAGCCGGUCUCAGUUCGGAUUGCAGUCUGCAACUCGACUGCAUGAAGUUGGAAUCGCUAGUAAUCGUGGAUCAGCCAAGCCGCGGUGAAUACGUUCCCGGGCCUU
Molecule: ribosomal RNA, 202 nt
Filed under: uncultured Thermovirga sp.
Lineage: Bacteria; Thermotogati; Synergistota; Synergistia; Synergistales; Thermovirgaceae
Description: partial 16S ribosomal RNA
Rfam family: Bacterial small subunit ribosomal RNA
Source: RNAcentral